RNAcentral lists this ribosomal RNA (273 nucleotides) under uncultured bacterium. RNAcentral's name for it is "partial 16S ribosomal RNA". It matches the Rfam family "Bacterial small subunit ribosomal RNA", at positions 524 to 796 of the family's 1533-position model. The record is from RNAcentral.
UACGGAGGGUGCAAGCGUUAUCCGGAUUCACUGGGUUUAAAGGGUGCGUAGGAGGACAGGUAAGUCAGUGGUGAAAUCUCCGGGCUCAACUCGGAAACUGCCGUUGAUACUAUCUGUCUUGAAUACCGUGGAGGUGAGCGGAAUAUGUCAUGUAGCGGUGAAAUGCUUAGAUAUGACAUAGAACACCAAUUGCGAAGGCAGCUCACUACACGAAUAUUGACUCUGAGGCACGAAAGCGUGGGGAUCAAACAGGAUUAGAUACCCUCGUAGUCC